This 673-nucleotide non-coding RNA is filed under the name Pongo abelii (Sumatran orangutan). The record is from RNAcentral. Lineage: Eukaryota; Metazoa; Chordata; Mammalia; Primates; Hominidae.
UGCCUGGAGUGAAGAUUCUGCCCAUUGGUCAAGAGACCUCCCUCUCAGAUGCUGGCUCUGCCCCUGCCUUUGGGGGUCGACCCUUGUACUCGCAGGACCUUAGGUGACUCUGACUUUGUCAAAGGAAAAAUUUCUGCAUGUGCACACACAGAUCUUGGAAGUUUAUUCAUCUCAGCAGAGGCAGACAGGAGCAUCAACAGCCUUGGGGACAGCAGCAGUGGUGGUGGAGUCUGACUCUGUCACCCAGGCUGAAGUGCAGUGGCACAAUCUUGGCUCACUGCAACCUCCGCCUCCCAGGUCCAAGCCAUUCUUGUGCCUUAGCCUCCUGAGUAGCUGGGAUUGCAGAAAACUUGGGAAGUAUCAAAAACUUCCAAAAAAUAUAAAGAAUCAGAAAAAGCGGCCGGAUGCAGUGGCUCACACCUGUAAUACCAGUACUUUGGAAGGCCAAGAUGGGUGGAUCACCUGAGGUCAAGAAUUCGAAAACAGCCUGGCCAACAUGGCAAAACCCCCAUCUGUACCAAAAAUACAAAAAUUAGCCUGGCGUUGCAGUGGGCACCUGUAAUCCCAGCUACUCAGGGAGGCUGAGGCAUGAGAAUUACUUGAACCCGGGAGGCGGAGGUUGCAGUGAGCCGAGAUCACACCACUGCACUCCAGCCAAGGUGACAGAGCAAGA